AGAGUUUGAUCCUGGCUCAGAAUGAACGCUGGCGGCAGGCCUAACACAUGCAAGUCGAACGGGUCCUUCGGGACUAGUGGCGGACGGGUGAGUAACGCGUGGGAACAUACCCUUUGGUACGGAAUAGCCUCGGGAAACUGAGAGUAAUACCGUAUGUGCCCUUCAGGGGAAAGAUUUAUCGCCAAAGGAUUGGCCCGCGUUGGAUUAGGUAGUUGGUGGGGUAAUGGCCUACCAAGCCGACGAUCCAUAGCUGGUUUGAGAGGAUGAUCAGCCACACUGGGACUGAGACACGGCCCAGACUCCUACG
RNAcentral lists this ribosomal RNA (307 nucleotides) under uncultured bacterium. RNAcentral's name for it is "bacterial SSU rRNA". It matches the Rfam family "Bacterial small subunit ribosomal RNA", at positions 8 to 343 of the family's 1533-position model. The record is from RNAcentral.